GUUUGUGGCGCAUUCUCCCAGGGCGGGAUGGCUUCGCGAUCAGACGGCCUUCGCUUGGGCCCCCGGUCCCCGGUCACAUGUGACACGGGCCCGGGGGCAGGAGUCGGUGGCUGCAGGAUCCGGUCCCGCCCACAAUCUCGGCGUAAAAGGUGGUCAUGUCUGUCACCCAUCCGGAAACUCGGGCCACGGAGUUCAACGUAUGCGCGACUCUCUGGGGUCAAAACCCUCAGGUGCAAUGAAAGGGAAACCUAUAGUCUAUAGGGUGAUAUCCGAUCCGGCGGCCCUCGCGUGGCCGGCGCAGCAUAGCCCCGUCCCGAUCGCGACGAUGGGGCGGAGGAAGAGCGUAUGGGAUGAGACCCGAAAGAUGGUGAACUAUGCCUGAGCAGGACGAAGCCAAAGGAAACUUUCGUGGAAGUCCGAAGCGGUUCUGACGUGCAAAUCGAUCGUCUGACUUGGG
Molecule: ribosomal RNA, 457 nt
Filed under: Cephalobidae sp. S13
Lineage: Eukaryota; Metazoa; Nematoda; Chromadorea; Rhabditida; Cephalobidae
Description: partial large subunit ribosomal RNA
Rfam family: Eukaryotic large subunit ribosomal RNA
Source: RNAcentral